UGGCGGUGUGGCCGAGUGGUCUAAGGCGCCAGAUUUAGGCUCUGGUCUCUAGGGGCGUGGGUUCGAACCCCACCACCGUCAG
This 82-nucleotide transfer RNA is filed under the name Trypanosoma equiperdum. RNAcentral's name for it is "Leu transfer RNA (tag)". It matches the Rfam family "tRNA". From Rfam's summary of the family: Transfer RNA (tRNA) molecules are approximately 80 nucleotides in length. Their secondary structure includes four short double-helical elements and three loops (D, anti-codon, and T loops). Further hydrogen bonds mediate the characteristic L-shaped molecular structure. tRNAs have two regions of fundamental functional importance: the anti-codon, which is responsible for specific mRNA codon recognition, and the 3' end, to which the tRNAs corresponding amino acid is attached (by aminoacyl-tRNA synthetases). tRNAs cope with the degeneracy of the genetic code in two manners: having more than one tRNA (with a specific anti-codon) for a particular amino acid; and 'wobble' base-pairing, i.e. permitting non-standard base-pairing at the 3rd anti-codon position. RNAcentral also lists the same sequence under 1 other name. Lineage: Eukaryota; Euglenozoa; Kinetoplastea; Trypanosomatida; Trypanosomatidae. The record is from RNAcentral.